Molecule: long non-coding RNA, 499 nt
Organism: Pezoporus flaviventris
Lineage: Eukaryota; Metazoa; Chordata; Aves; Psittaciformes; Psittacidae
Exons: 2
Source: RefSeq, a predicted model, not a curated record
GACUCCCCUGUCGUCCAGCGCUGUUUUUGCUCAUAUUCUACCUGCUAUAAUUAAUAAAAUUUUAAUUGGAUUAUGAUCCGUUGUGGUCUCAAUUUAUGACAAUUUUCUGGUGCCGUGACUCGGAUAAGGAACGGUGGACUUUGGUCCUCCGGGGAGGCGCCCCGCGACAUUUCGCGGCCCCGCGACCAACAGCUCACCCCAACCUUACCGACGAACCUAAAUUCUAGAAUAAUGAGCAAAGGAGAAACCGGUAAAAUCCCAUAAAAUUCUGUGCACGGGAGUCCGGACGAAGACGCAGGACGUAAACAGCUGUCCGGACUGCUGAGCGUGGAUGGACUCAUGCCAGUCACAUUAAAGGCCCAGUGACGAGACCCCACUGGAAAGUAAUCAGUACUCCAGGUGACACCAAGAUAACCCUGAAAAGAUAACGUAAUGAUAGAGACUUUAUUUGAUUAUUUCACCGCAUUACCUUUUGGUAUAAAGUGUGUAUUGCUGUUUA